Molecule: unclassified non-coding RNA, 706 nt
Filed under: Hevea brasiliensis (rubber tree)
Lineage: Eukaryota; Viridiplantae; Streptophyta; Magnoliopsida; Malpighiales; Euphorbiaceae
Source: RNAcentral
UGAAGAAAAAAAAAAUUAGCAUGUCUACAUUAAAGAUAGUGGUGCCCCCUGCAAUUUCAAUACCUGGAGCUGCCUCUGAUUGCUAAUAGCUAUAAUCCAAAACAAUAUCAUAUCAGACAAUGGCCACAUAAAUCCAUGCUAUAAUCAUUAGUUCUUAGCAGUCCUUCAAGAUCAACCAUCUAUAACUUGUUCUGUUUAGCUCGUAUGUACAUAAACUUGUGCAUUUUUUCAUUUUUUAAAGUGUUAAUGUUGUUAUACACUAAAAAGUAAGUAUUUGCAGCUUUCAACUCAUACUGGAAUUAGAUACUGUGUCACAGCAGUACAAGGUAUAAUUGAAUGGGUGGUUGAGACUUCCAUGUAUUAAGGUAAUUAUAGAACACAAUGGAAGUGUUUCUUAGCAUCCAGCGAACAGGAAGAGACGUUGUAAAAGGUCCAAAUAGCUUACAACUCUCCGAAGAAUUGGCUCCAGUGAUGAGCAGAGUUUCUGCAGACUGUCCACCUUGAGCGCUUCAACAAUAACACUGGCAAGAGCUGGUCUUUUUCUCUCAGGUUGACCUUCUUCACUACUGCUAACAUCAAGUCUACGUUUCUCUCCACUGGGUCUUUCCAUGAAAUUCCUCUCAAUUACUGUAUUGGGUAUCUUUAGAUCUGAUUUUUCAGUUCAAAUUUGAGCUUCCAAAUUCCUAAGGGAAAGAUUAAAAAGAGG